Gossypium arboreum is the source of this 536-nucleotide long non-coding RNA. RefSeq lists it as uncharacterized. The transcript has 3 exons. NCBI's taxonomy places the organism in Eukaryota, Viridiplantae, Streptophyta, Magnoliopsida, Malvales, Malvaceae. The record is from RefSeq and is a predicted model, not a curated record.
AGGUUAAAAUAAAAUGAAUCUAAGUUGAAAACAAAAAUUAGGUGCUAUCAUCUUCUUCUUUCUCUCAUUCCAUGGUCAAACACCAUUGUUAGGGAGAGGGAAGCUUCGGCCUUGUCCAUUUCUUUGCAUUGAUUCUGGUGUAAUACUGGGGGUAGAUAUAAUGCCUUCGAGCUCGGCAAUUGGUGUCCAAGCGUGUUUUCGGAGGGAUGAUAGCCUACGGUCUAGGCACUUGGUGUCGAGGCAUAUUUUCGGUUGGAUUGGCUCGUUUGAGCUUUUUGGUGCAUUUCAGAUAUCGUUUUGUGGAAUUGGACGAUUGGAUCAACUUGAAGAUCACACUAUCCAGAGACCUAUCGAUAGAUUUUGACAUGUUUAUCUUAGGGUUAUAUGUCAUGUAAUAGGAGUCUUGUAUGUGUUUUGAAUACUUAUCCCAUGUGAUGCAUUUUGUACUUGGAUGAUGUUGUUUUAACUUGGUUUUUGGUUUACUUGUUUAUGUCGUUAGCUUUUGGUUUGUAAAGUUCCAUAUAUAUACAAGUUUU